CAGAGAUCAUGCCCUCACGGGUAGACCUCCCACCCUAUGUUAUUAUACGAUUGUUGCUUUGGCAGGCCGCCCUCGGGCUCUCGGCUCCGGCUGAGGAGUGCCUGCCAGAGGACCCCAACUCUUCUGCUUUGUAUUGUCUGAGUCUUAUAUAAUAAGUUA
Molecule: unclassified non-coding RNA, 159 nt
Filed under: uncultured Helotiales
Lineage: Eukaryota; Fungi; Ascomycota; Leotiomycetes; Helotiales
Description: sequence contains ITS1
Source: RNAcentral